AAACCAACAGGGAUUGCCCCAGUAACGGCGAGUGAAGCGGCAACAGCUCAAAUUUGAAAUCUGGCCCUCGGGUCCGAGUUGUAAUUUGUAGAGGAUGCUUUUGGCGCGGUGCCUUCCGAGUUCCCUGGAACGGGACGCCUUAGAGGGUGAGAGCCCCGUACGGUUGGACACCAAGCCUCUGUAAAGCUCCUUCGACGAGUCGAGUAGUUUGGGAAUGCUGCUCUAAAUGGGAGGUAAAUUUCUUCUAAAGCUAAAUAUUGGCCAGAGACCGAUAGCGCACAAGUAGAGUGAUCGAAAGAUGAAAAGCACUUUGAAAAGAGGGUUAAAUAGCACGUGAAAUUGUUGAAAGGGAAGCGUUUGCGACCAGACCUCUCCCCGGCGGAUCAUCCGGCGUUCUCGCCGGUGCACUCCGCCGGGCUGAGGCCAGCAUCGGUUCCCGCGGGGGGACAAAAGCGGGGGGAACGUAGCUCCCUCGGGAGUGUUAUAGCCCUCCGCAUAAUACC
RNAcentral lists this ribosomal RNA (503 nucleotides) under Coniolariella ershadii. RNAcentral's name for it is "LSU rRNA". It matches the Rfam family "Eukaryotic large subunit ribosomal RNA", at positions 62 to 575 of the family's 3401-position model. Lineage: Eukaryota; Fungi; Ascomycota; Sordariomycetes; Xylariales; Xylariaceae. The record is from RNAcentral. RNAcentral also lists the same sequence under 1 other name.